This 66-nucleotide transfer RNA is filed under the name Conophyma sp. RNAcentral describes it as "tRNA-Ala". The record is from RNAcentral. Lineage: Eukaryota; Metazoa; Arthropoda; Insecta; Orthoptera; Dericorythidae.
AGGGUUGUAGUUAAAUAUAACAUUUGGGUUGCAUUCAAAAAGUAUUGAAUUAGUCAAUCAACCUUA